GUGGGGAAUAUUGCGCAAUGGGGGAAACCCUGACGCAGCAACGCCGCGUGAUUGAAGAAGGCCUUCGGGUUGUAAAGAUCUUUAAUCAGGGACGAAACAAAUGACGGUACCUGAAGAAUAAGCUCCGGCUAACUACGUGCCAGCAGCCGCGGUAAUACGUAGGGAGCAAGCGUUAUCCGGAUUUACUGGGUGUAAAGGGCGCGCAGGCGGGCCGGUAAGUUGGAAGUGAAAUCUAUGGGCUUAACCCAUAAACUGCUUUCAAAACUGCUGGUCUUGAGUGAUGGAGAGGCAGGCGGAAUUCCGUGUGUAGCGGUGAAAUGCGUAGAUAUACGGAGGAACACCAGUGGCGAAGGCGGCCUGCUGGACAUUAACUGACGCUGAGGCGCGAAAGCGUGGGGAGCAAACAGGA
RNAcentral lists this ribosomal RNA (409 nucleotides) under uncultured bacterium. RNAcentral describes it as "bacterial SSU rRNA". It matches the Rfam family "Bacterial small subunit ribosomal RNA", at positions 354 to 777 of the family's 1533-position model. The record is from RNAcentral.